Molecule: ribosomal RNA, 422 nt
Filed under: uncultured bacterium
Lineage: Bacteria
Description: bacterial SSU rRNA
Rfam family: Bacterial small subunit ribosomal RNA
Source: RNAcentral
UAAGGAAUAUUGGUCAAUGGACGCAAGUCUGAACCAGCCAUGCCGCGUGGAGGAUGAAGGUCCUCUGGAUUGUAAACUUCUUUUAUCCGGGACGAAACACUUCUUUUCUAAGAGGCCUGACGGUACCAGAUGAAUAAGCACCGGCUAACUCCGUGCCAGCAGCCGCGGUAAUACGGAGGGUGCAAGCGUUAUCCGGAUUCACUGGGUUUAAAGGGUGCGUAGGUGGGUAUGUAAGUCAGUGGUGAAAUCCCCGAGCUUAACUUGGGAACUGCCAUUGAUACUAUAUAUCUUGAAUACCGUAGAGGUAAGCGGAAUAUGUCAUGUAGCGGUGAAAUGCUUAGAUAUGACAUGGAACACCAAUUGCGAAGGCAGCUUACUAUGCGGUGAUUGACACUGAGGCACGAAAGCGUGGGUAGCAAACA